GGACCUGACUGCUAUCGGAUUGAUACUAAGCCAUGCGAGUCAUUGUAGCAAUACAGGGCAUACGGCUCAGUAACGCGUAGUCAACCUAACCUAUGGACGGGAAUAACCUCGGGAAACUGAGAAUAAUGCCCGAUAGAACAUUAUGCCUGGAAUGGUUUAUGUUCCAAAUGAUUUAUCGCCGUAGGAUGGGACUGCGGCCUAUCAGUUUGUUGGUGAGGUAAUGGCCCACCAAGACUAUUACAGGUACGGGCUCUGAGAGGAGUAGCCCGGAGAUGGGUACUGAGACACGGACCCAGGCCCUAUGGGGCGCAGCAGGCGAGAAAACUUUGCAAUGUGCGAAAGCACGACAAGGUUAAUCCGAGUGGUUUCUGCUAAAGAAACCUUUUGUCAGUCCUAGAAACACUGAUGAAUAAGGGGUGGGCAAGUUCUGGUGU
This 434-nucleotide ribosomal RNA is filed under the name uncultured archaeon. RNAcentral describes it as "bacterial SSU rRNA". It matches the Rfam family "Archaeal small subunit ribosomal RNA", at positions 19 to 458 of the family's 1478-position model. The record is from RNAcentral.